AAUGGCGAAUCAAGCAGCUGUUGCAGCAUUCUUCCUUUUCGCUUUAGCCGUCUUCUCCAACUUCGAGCUCUCGGCUUCUUCACUUGUCAGCGGCAAGAUCUCUUGCCUUGACUGCCACCGCGAUUUCGACUUCUCAGGUCUACUCUUUUAACUAGUUAAUACACUUGAAUCUUAGUGUAUGUCAUAAAAGUUUCUAACUUAUGAUUUCAUAUUGCAAAUCUAUUACACCACUGGUCACAUUUUUAGUUAAAUUGAUAUCUACACUAGUUUCUUGAUAUCUCGACCAUUUUUAUUGUAUAUGAUUUAUUUUUCAGGCAUUAAGGUCCUCCUUAAAUGCGACGGAGAGAAGAAACAGAUAACCGCGAUGGCAGCUUCAGACGGAUCUUUCCGCUCAGUGCUUCCAACGGCUGACAAAAAAGGCUCCGAAAAUUGUCUUGCAAAGCUCUUGGGAGGUCCUGAGCAACUCUAUGCUCACAAACACAACUUGGUUUCUGAAUUGGUCAACUCUAAACACGAUUCCAAAGUUUUAACUAUCUCAAACCCACUUGCCUUCUCUCUCUCCUGUCCCAAACCAACCCAAGAUGAUGUCGGAAGUAUGAUCGGAGAUUCCAAGACUAUUAAUUUUCCGGGGGCAGGAGGUUUUGGAUUCCCACCUGCCAGCUUCUUUCCCUUCUUACCAAUCAUUGGUAUCCCAUGAUUUCAUAAAUAAGUGUUACUUUUAAGUACUUAAAAGACAUAUUUAUACAUAUGUUUUGUUGUUUACGUGAAUGAAGCCAGCCAAGACAAAAUAUUAGCAAAUUACAUCAUUUUGUUUAGUGAGA
RNAcentral lists this long non-coding RNA (821 nucleotides) under Arabidopsis lyrata. Its description in RNAcentral is "long non-coding RNA (ALYR_LNC001269)". Lineage: Eukaryota; Viridiplantae; Streptophyta; Magnoliopsida; Brassicales; Brassicaceae. The record is from RNAcentral.